CUGGAAAUGUAUUCGAGGUUGAAGCUGGCUCUUUCGGGAGUAUUGUGCUCACCUUGAUUCCAAUCCAUCUACACCUGUGCACAUAUUGUAGUCUUUGGGAUGGGGUAAAACUUGUCCUGAACUCUACGUAUUUUUUACAUAUACUCUAUUAUAUGUUUAGAAUGUUAUUAUUUGCAAUAAAAAACGCAAUUUAAAAA
Molecule: unclassified non-coding RNA, 197 nt
Filed under: uncultured Basidiomycota
Lineage: Eukaryota; Fungi; Basidiomycota
Description: sequence contains ITS1
Source: RNAcentral